RNAcentral lists this ribosomal RNA (465 nucleotides) under uncultured bacterium. Its description in RNAcentral is "partial 16S ribosomal RNA". It matches the Rfam family "Bacterial small subunit ribosomal RNA", at positions 338 to 795 of the family's 1533-position model. The record is from RNAcentral.
CCUACGGGCGGCAGCAGUAGGGAAUUUUCCACAAUGGGCUAAAGCCUGAUGGCGCAACGCCGCGUGGGUGAAGACGGUCUUCGGAUCGUAAAACCCUGUUGUUAGAGAAGAAAGUGCGUGAGAGUAACUGUUCACGUUUCGACGGUAUCUAACCUGAAAGACACGGCUAACUACGUGCCAGGAGCCGCGGUAAUACGUAGGUGGCCAGCGUUAUCCGGAUUUAUUGGGGGUAAAGGACACGCAGGCGGUCUUAUAAGUCUGAUGUGAAAGGCUUCGGCUUAACCGGAGUAGUGCAUUGGAAACGGGGAGACUUGAGUGUAGGAGAGGAGAGUGGAACUCCAUGUGUAGCGGUGAAAUGCGUAGAUAUAUGGAAGAACACCAGUGGCGAAGGCGGCUCUCUGGUCUGUAACUGACGCUGAGGUUCGAAAGCGUGGGUAGCAAACAGGAUUAGAUACCCUGGUAGUC